This 200-nucleotide ribosomal RNA is filed under the name uncultured bacterium. Its description in RNAcentral is "partial 16S ribosomal RNA". It matches the Rfam family "Bacterial small subunit ribosomal RNA", at positions 8 to 212 of the family's 1533-position model. The record is from RNAcentral.
AGAGUUUGAUCCUGGCUCAGGACGAACGCUGGCGGCGUGCUUAACACAUGCAAGUCGAACGAUGAAGCCUUCGGGUGGAUUAGUGGCGAACGGGUGAGUAACACGUGGGCAACCUGCCCUCCACUCUGGGAUAACUCCGGGAAACCGGGGCUAAUACUGGAUACGACCACUGGCCGCAUGGCUGGUGGUGGAAAGUUUUU